CAGCGUGUCGUCUGUGUGUGUGUAACA
Molecule: small RNA, 27 nt
Filed under: Bombyx mori (domestic silkworm)
Lineage: Eukaryota; Metazoa; Arthropoda; Insecta; Lepidoptera; Bombycidae
Description: ovarian small RNA-13247
Source: RNAcentral